AAUGAACGCUGGCGGCAGGCCUAACACAUGCAAGUCGAACGGAUCCUUCGGGAUUAGUGGCGGACGGGUGAGUAACGCGUGGGAACGUGCCCCUUUCUUCGGAAUAGCCUCGGGAAACUGGGAGUAAUACCGGAUAAGCUCGCAAGAGGAAAGAUUUAUCGGGAAGGGAUCGGCCCGCGUUGGAUUAGGUAGUUGGUGGGGUAAUGGCCUACCAAGCCGACGAUCCAUAGCUGGUUUGAGAGGAUGAUCAGCCACACUGGGACUGAGACACGGCCCAGACUCCUACGGGAGGCAGCAGUGGGGAAUCUUAGACAAUGGGGGAAACCCUGAUCUAGCCAUGCCGCGUGAUCGAUGAAGGCCUUAGGGUUGUAAAGAUCUUUCAGUU
Molecule: ribosomal RNA, 385 nt
Filed under: uncultured bacterium
Lineage: Bacteria
Description: bacterial SSU rRNA
Rfam family: Bacterial small subunit ribosomal RNA
Source: RNAcentral